Pelobates cultripes (western spadefoot toad) is the source of this 327-nucleotide non-coding RNA. The record is from the annotation of a GenBank genome assembly. NCBI's taxonomy places the organism in Eukaryota, Metazoa, Chordata, Amphibia, Anura, Pelobatidae.
CAAAACAGAACAAAAGGCAUAGAAUAUAAUGGGGAAGAAACAAAGUCCUAGAUACGAUCAAUUCAACCAUGUCCGCCAUCCGAGAAGAACAGCCAAACUAGAUAGCGCUGAUGGACAGUAAACUGAAACGAGAGAAAAAAACAGAAUCGAACAGGUUGGUUAGCUAAUUAAAUGUACCCUUAACAAACAUGUAGGUACCCAAUGUAGCAACCAAAAUUACCUUAAUAUGAAGAUAUCCCAACUCUACUUAUGAAAAACAGACAUAAGAACAAGUGACAGGUAGCAGAGACAACAAGUAGAGUUGCAUACGUACCUGAUGAACCCAAG